This is a small nuclear RNA of Rhipicephalus sanguineus (brown dog tick), 103 nucleotides long. NCBI's taxonomy places the organism in Eukaryota, Metazoa, Arthropoda, Arachnida, Ixodida, Ixodidae. The record is from RefSeq and is a predicted model, not a curated record.
CUACUUCAAAAGUACAUAUACGAAAAUUGGAACAAUACUGAGAAGAUUAGCAUGGCCCCUGCGCAAGGAUCACACCCAAAAUCGUGAAGCUUUCCACUUUUCU